RNAcentral lists this ribosomal RNA (540 nucleotides) under uncultured bacterium. Its description in RNAcentral is "bacterial SSU rRNA". It matches the Rfam family "Bacterial small subunit ribosomal RNA", at positions 28 to 525 of the family's 1533-position model. The record is from RNAcentral.
GACGAACGCUGGCGGCGUGCCUAAUACAUGCAAGUCGAACGCGUCUACGUUAAUGAAAUCAAUGUGCUUGCACGGCGAUGGAUUUAACAUUAGACGAGUGGCGAACUGGUGAGUAACACGUGGGUAACCUGCCCUCAAGCAGGGGAUAACACUUGGAAACAGGUGCUAAUACCGCAUAACAAUGGAAACCGCAUGGUUUCUAUUUAAAAGGCGCUUAUGGUGUCACUGAUAGAUGGACCCGCGGUGCAUUAGCUAGUCGGUGGGGUAACGGCCUACCGAGGCGAUGAUGCAUAGCCGACCUGAGAGGGUGAUCGGCCACAUUGGGACUGAGACACGGCCCAAACUCCUACGGGAGGCAGCAGUAGGGAAUCUUCGGCAAUGGACGCAAGUCUGACCGAGCAACGCCGCGUGAGUGAAGAAGGUUUUCGGAUCGUAAAGCUCUGUUGUUAGAGAAGAACAAGUGGAAUAGUAACUGAUUUCACCAUGACGGUAUCUAACCAGAAAGCCACGGCUAACUACGUGCCAGCCGCCGCAGUAAAA